RNAcentral lists this ribosomal RNA (497 nucleotides) under uncultured bacterium. RNAcentral describes it as "partial 16S ribosomal RNA". It matches the Rfam family "Bacterial small subunit ribosomal RNA", at positions 28 to 507 of the family's 1533-position model. The record is from RNAcentral.
GAUGCACGUUGGCGUCGUGCCUAAUACAUGCAUGUCGAGCGAACAGACUAGGAGCUUGCUCCUCUUCCGUUAGCGGCGCACGUGUGCGUAACACGUGGAUAACCUACCUAUAAUCCUGGGAUAACUUCGGGAAACCGGUGCUCAUACCGGAUAAUAUAUUGAACCGCAUGGUUCACUAGUGAAAGACGGCUUUGCUGUCACUUUUAGCUGACUACGAGCCGCAUUAGCUAGUUGGUAAGCGAACGGCUUAACAAGGCAACGAUGCGUAUCCGACCUGAACGGGAGAUAGGGCACACGGGAAAGGAGACACGGUCCAGACUCCGAGUGGAGGCAGCAGUAGGGAAUCUUGCGCAAUGGGCGAGAGCGUGACGGAGCAACGCAGCGUGAGUGAUGAAAGUCUUAGGAUCAGAAAACUCUGUUAUUAAGGAAGAACAAAUGUAUAAUUAACUAUGCACGUCAUGACGAUACCUAAUCAGAAAGCGACGGCUAACUACGUG